GACGGCAGGUGCUUUAGAGGCCAAUGUUACGACAGGCUAAAGUACGAGUCUCUGGCAAGAAGCCAAUUGCCCGUUAUCCUGGGCAGGGACUUCAUCACCCGGCAGAAAUUGGUACUGGACCUGCCCAAUGGAGGAUACGUUUACCAAGGAUCGUUAGGAUUUUUUCCUUUCGCCGUGACAGAGGACAGCAGUUCAGCUAAGCAAGCUGCAGCGACAUCCGUCGAAUCUUCCUUGCUCCCGACUGUCUUGGCGUCAUUCCAUGGUCCUGAGGAUGAGCUGUGUCAGCUUGAACAAGUACUACGGCAGUUUAACAGUACCGCCACAGAGAACCCCGGGGUGAACACGGCAGUACCAUGUCCAGCAGCACACGAUUACCUGUUUGUAAGUAUUGGCUUACUACACUUUUCUCAGAUCAAGCAUCAUUCUGUCGAAUAAGCAUUCAGCUGAAGGACACGUAACAGAGUACACAGAACACACACAGAACACCUAGAUGAUUAUCAGGCUCUCUUGGAAGCACAGAAUUUUGGUAUUGUAAUUCUGAAAAAAAUUAAAAUUGCACAGAAAGAAAUAUAAAUUAGAAAUGUAAUCAAUCAAUCAAUCAAUCAAUCAAUCAAGAAAUAAAUAGAAAUAUAAUAUCAGUUAUAUACUCUCGAACAAGGGAAGUUGAAGUGCCAAAGCAUAUGGUGGUCUCCAUGAGAUGCAGGCUCUAUUGGAAAAUUCCUUGUGUAAGUAGUAACCAGUGACCGCCAGCUGACCACAACACACAGGGGUGUAGACACCAUCAAAUUAGCAAUUACUACUAAUUAGGACCCCCACAGUAAUCAUCACCCUCAAGGGAGACACCUCACUAAUUGGGGAGCACGUAACUCGUGUCCAGACCACUCUGUGUGUCAUGGGCAGCUAGUAGUCAGUGCUUACUAGUUACACAAGAGUGAACCAAGACACGACCACAAACCAAGACAACCAACCAAGACAACCAACCAAGAUGACAACCACAACAUGCUAGACACUCCUGUCCACAGCCAGAUCUCAACUGACGAAGCACAGUGACUGAUCAUACAUCUCCUACAUACACUCCCCAAGUGUCAGCAUCUUCUUUAUGCAACGAUAAGCAACAAUUUUUUAAAUGCUGGAGAUGUAAAGCAAGUUGCAAAAAUUGACAUUCCUUCUGGGACACAGUCAAAACUGGGAGAAGUUUCACCCUUUUGCACUUUAGCAUUUUUUUGAAUAUAAGAAAUCGCAAUACGACUUCACCUUACCCGAACAUUUUACUUUGAACUGUGGGGAGCGCUGAUAACCGCGCAACUUCCGCGCGAUAGCGCAAGAGAUGAAAGAGCAAGCGCUCGGGGAAAGAGUGAUUCGUGCGGCAGGCACGCUGGCAGACGGUCACAGAGGCGUGGAGCGACGAAGCGGGCAGACUGCAAGCAGCUCCGAUGUAAGACAAUAAACCUUGUUUCUCUUGUUCAACUGCUGUGUUCGUCUUCUUCGGGGUUGCGACGGGUCGAUUGCGGAACCACCCCGGGUUUGUGGGCCGCGGUUCGCACAAAAUUGGCGCCCAACAGUGGUGUUUUCGACUCGCCGUACCGUUUUCCUCGGAGGGCACAGCAUAGUUGCAGAUAGUGUGCAUUUUUGUUUUGUUUGUUUUUUGGUUCUGCCGCCGUCUGCGUUGCAGCGCAGGUUCUUCGACCGGAGAUGCCUCCCAGGAAGAAGCACGACCCAGACAAUGACGAGGACGAGCCUACGCCAGUGGCUGAGGACUUGCUUCGACAGAUGGCAUCCCUCUGUACGUUACUGACGCAGCAGCUUGGUAGAAGUACGCCCGCUGCCCAGCCGUCCCCGGACACGCCGCUACGCCUGAAUCUGACGGUACCGACAUUUUCGGGCUACAGCGACGCCAAGUCCGUCGACGAUUUCCUUGCGGACCUGGAAGCUUACCAGACAG
Long non-coding RNA from Ornithodoros turicata, 1942 nucleotides. RefSeq lists it as uncharacterized. The transcript has 3 exons. The record is from RefSeq and is a predicted model, not a curated record. NCBI's taxonomy places the organism in Eukaryota, Metazoa, Arthropoda, Arachnida, Ixodida, Argasidae.